GUAUACGGGGGAUGCAAGCGUUAUCCGGAAUCAUUGGGCGUAAAGCGCCUGUAGGUUGUCUAAUAAGUCUGUUGUUAAAGACUAGGGCUUAACCCUGGGAAAGCGAUGGAAACUACUAGGCUUGAGUAUGGUAGGGGUAGAGGGAAUUUCUAGUGUAGCGGUGAAAUGCGUAGAUAUUAGAAAGAACACCGGUGGCGAAAGCGCUCUACUGGGCCAUUACUGACACUGAGAGGCGAAAGCUAGGGGAGCAAAAGGGAUUAGAUACCCCUGUAGUCCUAGCCGUAAACGAUGGAUACUAGGUGUUGUAUUAUUAUACAGUAUCGUAGCUAACGCGUUAAGUAUCCCGCCUGGGGAGUACGCUCGCAAGGGUGAAACUCAAAGGAAUUGACGGGGGCCCGCACAAGCGGUGGAGCAUGUGGUUUAAUUCGAUGCAACGCGAAGAACCUUACCAGGGCUUGACAUACUACAAAUCUUUUUGAGACGAAAGAGUGCCUUCGGGAAUGUAGAUACAGGUGGUGCAUGGCUGUCGUCAGCUCGUGUCGUGAGAUGUUGGGUUAAGUCCCGCAACGAGCGCAACCCUCGUUUUUAGUUGCCAAUUUAUUGGGAUUUCUAGAGAGACUGCCGGUGAUAAACCGGAGGAAGGUGAGGAUGACGUCAAGUCAGCAUGCCCCUUAUGCCCUGGGCCACACACGUGCUACAAUGACAAAGACAAAGAGUCGCAAAUUCGCGAGAACUAGCUAAUCUCAUAACU
RNAcentral lists this ribosomal RNA (751 nucleotides) under Ochrosphaera sp. RCC2973. RNAcentral's name for it is "bacterial SSU rRNA". It matches the Rfam family "Bacterial small subunit ribosomal RNA", at positions 521 to 1282 of the family's 1533-position model. The record is from RNAcentral. Lineage: Eukaryota; Haptophyta; Coccolithales; Hymenomonadaceae.